UGGGAUGUACCUAAGCAUCUGCCAUCCACAUCAUACUGGGAGACUGCCGUGUCACAGUAGCCAUUGGAUCCUUUCAUGGCUUAGAAUCACAAGUUUGAAGUAAAAAAGAAAACAUCAAAUCCAUGUUACUUAAGAGUGGUAGGAUUCAAGAAGACUAUCAGAACACAUUCCCUGCCUCACAGGCAGAACUUCAACCCAAGUAGUCAUCUGUCUCUGGACCCUGCCUUCCCUGGGCUCCGUAUCAUUCCCCACACCUCCUUGGUUAUGGGGGACUCCAUAGGAGACUCGGGUCUACAGGACUAAUUUCAUUCCACCUCUCAUGUGUACAAAAACGAAAACAAAAUGCUUUAACAUCAUCAACAACAAAAGGAACACUGCUGUUCUGCAUCUAGGGGAGAAGCUUCUCAAAGGAAAAGACAUCAAAGUGUGGCCAUGAUUUAUGCACACGAGGUCUGAGCCUGACCCGGAGAGGCUGGGACACAGAAUCAUUGAACUUUUGCUGAACGAAGUAAUGGGAAGUUUGAGUUUUCUUCAGGGAAACAAAGAGACACCACAGGGGCUGCAUCGCUGGGAACAAACAGGGGUCUCUGGUGAGAGACACGAGAGUCAUGUGCAUGUGGCAGGAGGCCUGCAAAUGUCUGUUAUCGGGAGGAAAAUCCGGCCCUGCUAUUUCUCCAGCCUUCCCUUGUUCCCAGUCCGGCCCUGCCCCUUUAACAUUCAGGAAUGAGAGCGGAAGCAGAAGGCCCAGGUCCCCGCGGGUCCCGACGCCCGGAUUCCACAGCCUGUGAGGAUCCCUUGCGCCUAGAGGGGGACGAGGCCACUGGCACUACGUCGUGACUUCACCAACAGCCUGCAGUUCUCAUUAACGGGCUUUCGCCAGGCCCCUUGGCCUAACGCCAGGAUUCCCGGUGCCAGCCCUCAGCGCUCUGAGAUUAGACAACGCCCCACAGGCCGCGGCUCUCUGUUGACCAUCCGCAGCGCCGAGACCGGCCUACACAAGCCUGCGGCCGCUAGCUCUCCCACAAGGCCGAGCGCGGCCAAAGGGCAGCCCCGCCCCCGCCACCUCCUGCAGCUCUAUUGGCUAAUGCGCCUGCCACUCAGCCGCGCGCCCGACCUCGGCCUCGGGCCUGGAGGAGGGAUCCCAAAUCUCGGCUCGGCUCGGCUCCAGCUGCCUCGCUUCUCCUUGACGUUUACUGUGUUUGGCAUCUCUGUUCCAACGCCAGCAGCCGUUUCGCGACCCACGGCGGACUUGCAUAAACACUUUCUAGUUGGAAUCUCACCCUGCGAGGUGGGCAGGGUGGUGAUAUUCCUGUUUGACGCCGACAGAAAUAAGAGAGAUUGACUCUCAGAGUCUUGUGGCGGGAUUUUAAAGGGGGAUCUUAAUAGUGGCUCCAGACAGACCCGUGUUUUCUGCUUCUAGCAUUAACUACGUCAUUAGACACUUCUGAAUUAAUUUUGUCUGUGAAAUGGGGAAAAGAUAGCCACCUUGCAUAACUGGUGAAGAAUUCGUAAACUGACAGAAAAAUCUAGUAAGAGGAUUGGCCCGUGGUCGGCUCUUAGUGGUGUAUGUGGGGCUGUGAACAUUCCCAGGUCUUCUGACCUCUUGUCUGGGACUCUUUCUGCUAAACUAGCGAUUCUCAGAAGCCCAGAGACUUCGGAAGAUCCGGGGGCAUCUUCGAGGGGAUCCCUGAGUUCUAAACUGCCGAGGAACACUCAAGAGAGAGAAUAAAUAUUUCCACCAUAUUAUUACGGAUAAUAUAUAUGUUGUCAUCUAUUUGCCAAAGACUGUUGUAAGUGCUUGUAUACAUUAAGUCACUUAAUCUUCACGGUGAACACUAUGGUACAUCCUAUUAUAAUUCAUAUUUUACAGGCAAAUAAACAGAGGCACGGAGAUGUUAAAUACCUUUCCAGCUAAAAAGUGUGGGAGCUGUUUUACGUUCAUGCAAUCUAGCUGAUAAAGCCACACACAUUAGUGUUUGUACUAUAUAUUAUUGCGCAAGAGGUGUCUUUGAUAAUGAUUCUUGAGACACAAUUUACAAGAUGCCUCUGACUUUUAUUAAACUCUCAAAGGGCAGGAGAAGAAAAAAAGAAAAAUACAGAGGAACCUAAACCCUAAAUCAGAGACAGACUACAUGCAGAUGUACAAAUGGAAGAUUAGAAACCCAAGUUGUGGGUACCAUGUUUGGAAUUCCGUUUUAGCGGAAUGCUUUGGACUAUCACGUCCCUUGGUGGCUCCCUGGAGCUGCCCACUAAGGGAGAACGAUUGAAUGACAGGAUUGGAAUGGAAUGUAGCCAUCAUCUUAUCUGACCACACAGACACCUCCCAGCAGAUGAAUGCAUCACCUCCACAUGAUAAUUUUGAAGACUUUCUGAGAAAGUGAUAAUAUUAGCCUGUUACCUCACAAUCACAAGGAACAGUACAGUGACUACAAACCCUAUGUGCCUUAUUCAACAGAUGUCACAGAAUAAAGAAAAAGACUGGGAGAGAGAUGGGAGCUGAUAGACCAGACGAGACCAAAGACUUAAACUGAAGACUAAAUCAUGGGAAAUGGGAGCAAGGACUUAUUUGUUUAGAGGGUGAAAAGAGUGAAUUUGCCUACAGGGCAAAUCUGGAAGCAGCUCUCCCUGGGAGCCAGGUUAGAGCUCCUACUAAGGUGUCCUUGGCCUCUGCAGUGGUGGUGGCCUUGAACUACACAGCACACUUGGACACUCAGCUUCUGAAUGUCCAGAGCAGUCCUGAGUCUUGCCUGAGAAAAAUACUCAGGUGCUUGGGCUUCGCCUCUCCCUUCUGCCUUCUUUUCCUCCGCCUUUCCAGGUCAGCCUGGGGAAUAUGGGGUGUGAGGAGGGAGGUGAGUGGAGGCUGAGUUUUGACCAAUGUUAUAUGACAUUUGAACCUGACCGAUGGCAAAAGGAAGAUCCUUUGGGAGGCAGGCCUAUGUUCUCAUCCCUCUUCCUGCCCCUUUGGAUCAGAUAGCUGUCAAUCAUUGUCUCUGGGGCUGGUAAAGAACAGAGAGGGGCACCGGACAACAUCAGCCAAGUAAAAGUAGUGCUGGGGGUUGGGUCCCAAGUGAUCUGUCAACACAUCCUGAAAUGGUAUUUUGAGUGACCAGAGAAAAUGCAGGCUCCAUGAAGGAGAGAAGUCUAGGGUGAUUCCUGUGGAGAAAUAUUGGUUGUGAGAUUUAAGAGGUGAAAGUGACAUAGACAGGAAAUGAGGCAAGAGGCUGAGAGUCAGUGGCACCACUUGCUUUGGAAAUGGAGCAAAGGCUGUGAAGCUCACAAAAGCUUGGUCCUGGGGUGAGGUGUGGGGAAGGUUGGCCACAUAGGACAAGAGCAGGGCUGCAGAGUUAAAGUCCCAAGGACAAGCAAUGUGGCUGUCUUUCCAGAAAGAUUGGGACCUCACCAAACUACCAUCUCCCAAGCCCUUCCAUCCAACAACUGGAUAUUCUCUCUAUGGCAUGAAUAACAGUUAUUGUGCCACUUGGUAUACAAAGACAAUUAUUAUACAUUUGCUUUGUACUGGGCUUUUGCUAACUGGCUGUAAGUGCUAACCUUUCAUAAGUGACUCUAAAAAGAAUGAUUUCUGCACAGCUCUCUAAGCAUUUGUGGACCCAGUCAGGAAAGCGGAAAGAAGCAACAGGCUUAGCAGAUCAUUCUGAAUAGCUUUGGAAACAUAAGCCAGGGAGACCCAGAAUGAGUCAAAGAAGAGCCAUUGGAGGAUUUUAAACCAGGAACCAAAAAUAGAGUCUGAAAAUAGAGGUGCAGAGACUGGUCAACCGCAAUGAAGACCAAUCCAUUUGACCUCCAUCCUGGCUCAUCUCCUCUGUGUUCUCAUAGCAUCAUAUUACAGAAUGGAUCACAGACGCCUUUGCAGUUGCCUAUUUAUUUGUCCAUUUCUCCCUCCAGACUGCCUUUGUGAGAAAAACACCCAAAUGCCACAAGUGCAUCCUCAGGGAGCUGCAGGGUGGCAGGAGCCGAGGAUGCAAAAACAUAAUUGCCUUCUAUCUACUCUGAUUUGAGCUUCAUCAAAUCCUUUGGCUCCCAAGGUAUUCUGCAGCAGAUGUGUGCACAAUAUUCCAGCACUGGGACUUGUGUCUGCGGGUACUGCUGGGGGCCUAAGAGUCUGAGGGUCUGCAAAGCCUCCAAGCCCUUCCCCUUCCUCCCAGGCCUCAGGGCCUGUGCUGGCCACCCUCCUAUACAGCCCUUACUUGGCAUUCUUGCUAAGUUCUCUGGGGGCUCCAACCUUGACUCUUUUCAUUCCAUGAUGAUUUCUUCUGGGCUCUGCGCCUCGGGGGAGAACUUGCAAUGCUAGUAAUAAACAAAGAGCGCUCAUGAUUAAAAACAUGAAUUUUCCUGUCUUAGGAGAGAACAGCAGAGCUUAAGGGCUUUCAUAGGAUUCUGAACAGCCACCUGUCUUGUCCGGCCAUUGUCUACCCAUGCAUCCAUCCGUUCAGUAAAACUCUUUUGUGCUCACUGUGCUCAAAAAGCAGGAAGGUUUUGCCCCAAGGUAGUUCACAGCAGAGUGAAAUACAGACUAGAAACCAGAUAAGCACCAUGAGGCGAUUUGAAAAUAAAAGAUCAUUCUCCUCUACCAUAAACCAUGAGUCCUUAGGGAGACAUGGGUAUACACACACCCUCCCAGAUGACAAGGCAAUAGCUUAUACAUGGGAUUUCAGCUUCCCUGGAGGAGCUAAAUAAGUGAACCUACGAAUGCCAGUGUUUGGUCACAUAGAAGGCACUGAAAAACCUAUGGUGACCAAAAAGGCCAGUGGUUGCCCCACCCUCCAACACUCACCCCCCCACACACACUCUUCUCUGAUUUGACCAAGCCAUUCUAUUGCACCUCUCUGACACAAUAGGCUGUUUCAUACCUUUGCUAUCUUUAUGUUUGUCUUCCAGGGCCUGGUCUGCUUGGUGAGACCUCAGCAGCUUUGGAACCUGCUUUUCUAGAGACCUCUCCAGAAUCUCCUGGCCAGGUUCAACCUCUGCCAUUACUGUGCAUUGUCCAAAUCUUCCUUGCACUUAGCACCCUGGAGCAUGUAUGUGUGAUCUCAGGCCAGCCAGUGAAUGUGCACUUAGAAAGCUCACUCAUCCUUAAAUCCAUGAGGCCCAGAACAGAAACAAUCAGAUGUUCUGAAAAAAUAUCAGUGUUAACUACUCAAGUAUCUUCUUGUUAAAAUAUUCUUCUUAA
This is a non-coding RNA of Macaca mulatta (Rhesus monkey), 5188 nucleotides long. The record is from RefSeq and is a predicted model, not a curated record. NCBI's taxonomy places the organism in Eukaryota, Metazoa, Chordata, Mammalia, Primates, Cercopithecidae.